UGUAAGCGUAUACCAAAGUUGUUGCAGUUAAAACGCUCGUAGUCGGAAUUUGGCAGUUCCGGAUGUGUGCACGUCGUGUGCGCACUUCGCGGGGAUUGCUUUUGUGGUCUUGCGUAGGAUGAGGCACUUUUAUUAGUGAACGUCCUCACGCAACCACUUUUUACUGUGAGAAAAUCAGAGUGCUCAAAGCAGGCAUUUGCCGUGAAUGUAUUAGCAUGGAGUAAUAGAAUAGGACUUGGUUCUAUUUUGUUGGUUUGUUGGGACUGAGUAAUGAUUAAGAGGGACAGUUGGGGGCAUUUGUAUUUCGGCGCUAGAGGUGAAAUUCUUAGAUUGCCGAAAGACAAACUGCUGCGAAAGCGUCUGCCAAGGAUGUUUUCAUUGA
RNAcentral lists this ribosomal RNA (382 nucleotides) under uncultured eukaryote. RNAcentral describes it as "partial 18S ribosomal RNA". It matches the Rfam family "Eukaryotic small subunit ribosomal RNA", at positions 592 to 976 of the family's 1831-position model. The record is from RNAcentral.